RNAcentral lists this transfer RNA (89 nucleotides) under Streptomyces rimosus subsp. rimosus. RNAcentral's name for it is "tRNA-Pro(ggg)". Lineage: Bacteria; Bacillati; Actinomycetota; Actinomycetes; Kitasatosporales; Streptomycetaceae. The record is from RNAcentral.
GGCUGCUGCGCCACGGGAGGCCGGCCCUGGGGCGGCUGCUGCGGGGUGUACGGGGCCUGCGGCUGCUGGUUCCAGACCUGCUGCUGCGG